This 72-nucleotide transfer RNA is filed under the name Camelus bactrianus (Bactrian camel). It matches the Rfam family "tRNA". Rfam says of the family: Transfer RNA (tRNA) molecules are approximately 80 nucleotides in length. Their secondary structure includes four short double-helical elements and three loops (D, anti-codon, and T loops). Further hydrogen bonds mediate the characteristic L-shaped molecular structure. tRNAs have two regions of fundamental functional importance: the anti-codon, which is responsible for specific mRNA codon recognition, and the 3' end, to which the tRNAs corresponding amino acid is attached (by aminoacyl-tRNA synthetases). tRNAs cope with the degeneracy of the genetic code in two manners: having more than one tRNA (with a specific anti-codon) for a particular amino acid; and 'wobble' base-pairing, i.e. permitting non-standard base-pairing at the 3rd anti-codon position. RNAcentral also lists the same sequence under 2 other names. Lineage: Eukaryota; Metazoa; Chordata; Mammalia; Artiodactyla; Camelidae. The record is from Rfam by way of RNAcentral.
GAGGGUAAGGCUCAGUGGUGGAGUGCAGUCUUAGCAUGCACUAGGUCCUGGGUUCAAUCCCCAGUACCUCCA